Molecule: non-coding RNA, 76 nt
Filed under: Methylovorus sp. MM2
Lineage: Bacteria; Pseudomonadati; Pseudomonadota; Betaproteobacteria; Nitrosomonadales; Methylophilaceae
Also listed under: 1 other name
Description: Methylovorus sp. MM1 SAH (S-adenosyl-L-homocysteine) riboswitch aptamer
Rfam family: SAH (S-adenosyl-L-homocysteine) riboswitch aptamer
Source: Rfam by way of RNAcentral
UAUUCCGAGGAGCGCUGCGAGAGGUUAAGCUACACUCCCAGGCUCGGAACAGCGUUUCAAACGGCGUUCACCUUAC